UGCCAGCAGCCGCGGUAAUACGGAAGCCUCAAGCGUUACCCGGAUUCACUGGGCGUAAAGGGUUCGUAGGCGGUUAUAUUAGUCGGGUGUUAAAUCCUGGGGCUCAACCUCAGGCUCGCAUUCGAAACGGUAUAACUAGAAGAAGUGAGAGGUGAACAGAACUCAUGGUGUAGGGGUGAAAUCCGUUGAUAUCAUGGGGAAUACCAAAUGCGAAGGCAGUUCACUGGCACUUUCUUGACGCUGAGGAACGAAAGCUAGGAUAGCGAACGGGAUUAGAUA
RNAcentral lists this ribosomal RNA (279 nucleotides) under uncultured bacterium. RNAcentral's name for it is "partial 16S ribosomal RNA". It matches the Rfam family "Bacterial small subunit ribosomal RNA", at positions 506 to 784 of the family's 1533-position model. The record is from RNAcentral.